AAGAGCUCAAAUUUUGAAAGCUGGUACCUCCGGUAUCCGCGUUGUAACCUCGAGACACGUUUUCCGUGCGGCGCUAUGGACAAGUUCCUUGGAACAGGACAUCGUAGAGGGUGAAAAUCCCGUACUUGCCAUGGAUGUACCGUGCUUUGCGAUACGUGCUCUAAGAGUCGAGUUGUUUGGGAUUGCAGCUCAAAAUGGGUGGUAGACUCCAUCUAAAGCUAAAUAUCGGGGAGAGACCGAUAGCGAACAAGUACCGUGAGGGAAAGAUGAAAAGCACUUUGGAAAGAGAGUUAAAAGUACGUGAAAUUGUCGAAAGGGAAGCGCUUGAAGUCAGCCAUGCCGCUCAGGACUCAGCCUGGCUUUUGCUUGGUGUAUUUCCUGGGUAGCAAGUCAGCAUUGGUUUGGAUCGUCGGAGAAGCAUAGUCGGAAUGUGGCGCCCUCGGGCGUGUUAUAGCCUUCUAUUGGAUACGACGAUCUAGACCAAGGAACGCAGCGCGCCUUAUGGCGGGUCUUCGGACACCUUCGCGCUUAGAUGCUGGCAAAAUGCGUGUAAGGUGG
Molecule: ribosomal RNA, 558 nt
Filed under: Malassezia furfur
Lineage: Eukaryota; Fungi; Basidiomycota; Malasseziomycetes; Malasseziales; Malasseziaceae
Description: LSU rRNA
Rfam family: Eukaryotic large subunit ribosomal RNA
Source: RNAcentral